AUGUUAUGACCCCUGAUUGUGAAGCAGAAUUCACCAAGCAUUGGAUUGUUCACCCACUAAUAGGGAACAUGAGCUGGGAUUAGACCGUCGUGAGACAGGUU
This is a non-coding RNA of Gallus gallus (chicken), 101 nucleotides long. The record is from Rfam. Lineage: Eukaryota; Metazoa; Chordata; Aves; Galliformes; Phasianidae.